This 24-nucleotide transfer RNA is filed under the name Ocimum basilicum (sweet basil). RNAcentral describes it as "partial tRNA-Leu". The record is from RNAcentral. Lineage: Eukaryota; Viridiplantae; Streptophyta; Magnoliopsida; Lamiales; Lamiaceae.
AAAAUCCGUCGACUUUAAAAUUGG